UGCAUCCUAGCAUUCCGAGUCACAAGUUCAGGAUCCGUAAGAAGGACGUGCAGAUGGUGCUGCUGGAUGAGGCCGCUAUCAGCAGCUUCCAGACAAUGAUGGGGGACUGCUUGCUCCAGCUGGACAUGUACCUACAAGGCGUGCAGAGACAAAUCAUUAACCAAUUUAAGUGGGACAGUGAGGACCCAGCUGCUGGUAGCA
Molecule: long non-coding RNA, 201 nt
Filed under: Gallus gallus (chicken)
Lineage: Eukaryota; Metazoa; Chordata; Aves; Galliformes; Phasianidae
Description: long non-coding RNA NONGGAT002370
Source: RNAcentral